CCUGGUUAAUCCUGGCAGUAGCAUAUGCUUCUAUCAAAGAUUAUCCAUGCUUGUCUAAGUACAGCAUGGCUGGGUAGAGUGAAACUGAAUGGCUCAUUAAAUCAAUUAUGGUUCCUUUGGUCGCUGGCUCCCCUCCUAUUUGGAUAACUUGUAAUUCUAGAGCUAAUACAUGCCGACAGGCGCUGACCCCCUUCGUGGGGGGGAUGCGUGCAUUUAUCAGAUCAAAACCAACCCAGUGAGCUCCUCAUCAGGCCCCGGGCUGGGGUGGUGGGCUGGUGGUGGUGUUGGUGACUCUAGGUAACCUUGGGCCAAUAGCAUGCCUCAUGUGGUGGUGAUGACACAUUUGAACAUCUGCCCUAUCAACUUUGGGUGGUAGUUGCUGUGCCUACCAUGGUGACCAUGGGUGAUGAGGAAUCAGGAUCCAAUUCUGGAGAGGGAGCUUGAGAAAAGAUACCACAUCCAAGGAAGGCAGCAGGUGUGCAAAUUACCCACUCCUGACAUGGGGGAGGUAGUGAGGAAAAAUAAUACAGCACUCUUUUGAGGCCCUGUAAUUGGAAUGAGUCCAUGUUAAAUCUUUUAAGGAGGAGGAUCCAUUGGAGGGCAAGUUUGGUGCCAGCAGCUGCAGUAAUUUCAGCUCCAAUAGUGUGUAUAUUAAAGUUGCUACAGUUAAAGAGCUUGUAGUUGGAUCUUGGGAGUGGGUGGGCAGUUGAUUGUGAGGUGAGCCACUGCCUGUCCUGCCCCUUGCCUCUCGGCACACCCUUGAUGCUCUUAGCUGAGUGUCCUGUGGGGCCUGAAGCAUUUAGUUUGAAAAACUGAGUGUUCAAAGCAGCCCUGAGCCGCCUGGAUACUGCAGCUAGGAGUAAUGGAAUAGGACUGCGGUUCUAUUUUGCUGGUUUUUGGAAUUGAGGCCAUGAUUAAGAGGGAUGGCUGGGGACAUUUGUACUGUGCUGCUAGAGGUGAAACUCUUGGACCGAUGUAGGAUGGACCAGAGUGAAAGCAUUGUGAAGAAUGUUUUCAUUAAUAAAGAACUAAAGUUGAAGAUGAUCAGAUAGCAUUGUAGAUCCAACCAUAAAUUAUGCUGACUGGUGAUGUGGCAGCAUUAUUCCCCUAAACUGCUGGGCAGCUUCUGGGAAACCAGUCUUUGGGUUCUGGGGGGAGUAUGGUUGCAAAGCUGGAACUUAAAGGAAUUGACAGGGCACCACCAGGAGUGGAGCCUGUGACUUAAUUUGACUCAACACAGGAAACCUCACCCGGCCCGGAUACGGACAAGAUUGACAGAUUGAUAUCUCCUUCUUGAUUCUGUGGGUAGUGGUGCACGGCCGUUCUUAGUUGGUGGAGUGAUUUGUCUGGUUAAUUCUCUUAACGAACAACUCUGACAUGCUAACUAGUUACCUGACCCCUGAGUGGUUGGUGUCCCCCCACCAGGAAAAGUGGUGUUCAGCCACCAGAGAUUGAGCAAUAAUAGGUCUGUGAUUCCAUUAGAUGUCUGGGGCUGCAUGUGCACUACAAUGACUGGCUUGGGGUGUGCCUACCCUAGGAUGGUGGGUGUGGGUAACCUGUUGAAUCCCAUUCGUGAUGGGGAUCAGGGAUUGCAAUUAUUCCCCAUGAAUGAGGAAUUCCCGGUUUAGUGUGGAUCAUAAGCUUGCCUCAAGUCUCUGCACUUUGUACACACCGCCCAUUGCUAUGACCCAUUGGAAGAUUUAGUGAGGCCCUUGGAUUGGCCCUGUGUGGGCCAGCCCCCAAAGCCCUGGUGGAGGGCUGAGAAGAUGACUGAACUUGACUAUCUAGAGGAAGUAAAAGUCGUAAAAAGGUUUCCCUAGAUGAACCUGCGAAAG
Molecule: ribosomal RNA, 1835 nt
Filed under: Prolemur simus (greater bamboo lemur)
Lineage: Eukaryota; Metazoa; Chordata; Mammalia; Primates; Lemuridae
Description: SSU rRNA
Rfam family: Eukaryotic small subunit ribosomal RNA
Source: RNAcentral